AGGAGGAUACGUUUCGCAUCGAAAGUGAAAGUAAAGAUGUGAUUUACUAAAGGAGAACUCUUAGGCGCGUCAGUGAGGCGGACAGACGCGCGGGCUGCAGCUCAGCAGGCUCCCCUGGAUUCUUCUAUGAAACGUGACUGUUUGAUGGGAAAGUCUGGAAGCAGAGAAACUUUAGAAAUCUGUAUCUGUGAGUAAACCUGGAUUGUCACGGUAACAGAAUGGCUUCCCGCUGCCUUCUCUUGUUCUUUGUUUUUUUAAGUCUCACCAGCCUGUCAGAUGAGGAGUGUCAUGAUCAUUUCUCCAUAGAACACUGGAACGGCACAGACAUGACUGAUCUGAUUACCCUAGUAAAUGCCACCAGCACCGAGAAAAUCCUAAAUUGCACUGUAUGGAAAAAC
This is a non-coding RNA of Poecilia reticulata (guppy), 398 nucleotides long. NCBI's taxonomy places the organism in Eukaryota, Metazoa, Chordata, Actinopteri, Cyprinodontiformes, Poeciliidae. The record is from RefSeq and is a predicted model, not a curated record.